This 253-nucleotide ribosomal RNA is filed under the name uncultured bacterium. Its description in RNAcentral is "partial 16S ribosomal RNA". It matches the Rfam family "Bacterial small subunit ribosomal RNA", at positions 524 to 776 of the family's 1533-position model. The record is from RNAcentral.
UACGGAGGGUGCAAGCGUUAUCCGGAUUCACUGGGUUUAAAGGGUGCGUAGGUGGGAAUGUAAGUCAGUGGUGAAAUCUCCGUGCUUAACACGGAAACUGCCAUUGAUACUAUGUUUCUUGAAUUUUCCGGAGGUCAGCGGAAUAUGUCAUGUAGCGGUGAAAUGCUUAGAUAUGACAUAGAACACCAAUUGCGAAGGCAGCUGACUACAGGGAUAUUGACACUGAGGCACGAAAGCGUGGGGAUCAAACAGG